This 342-nucleotide ribosomal RNA is filed under the name Triticum aestivum (bread wheat). RNAcentral describes it as "partial small subunit ribosomal RNA". Lineage: Eukaryota; Viridiplantae; Streptophyta; Magnoliopsida; Poales; Poaceae. The record is from RNAcentral.
AUGGACGGCCAGGAUCGAUCCAGCGAGCAUGAGAUGCUUCGACUCCCUCCGCUGGAUCUCAAUUAUUGUCUCUGUGAUUUAGUAGCUAGUGCUUCAGCUUUGCUAUCGAUCUGUUGGCCGAUUACUGGAUGGAUGUAUCCAUCGUCUCUCUUUGUGUCCUUCUUAUUCCUCAUGUUUGGCACCUGUCACCCUCAUUCAUGUCUCUCUAAAUAUAAUUUCUUGCUCACCGGCCGAAAGUUGGUGGAAGAGUUGCACAUAUGCUUCUCCUCAUUGUCUCAUCAUUCUUCUCCCCCUCCCUUCCUUUGUGUGUGUGCGAAAGAAAGUGUGUGUGUAUAUGUAUGA